This 270-nucleotide long non-coding RNA is filed under the name Malus domestica (apple). RNAcentral describes it as "long non-coding RNA (MDOM_LNC014519)". The record is from RNAcentral. Lineage: Eukaryota; Viridiplantae; Streptophyta; Magnoliopsida; Rosales; Rosaceae.
AGAUGAAGCAUCACCAGAAACAGGUGGGGAUGAAACCUCAGAGGAAGGACUGGGAGCAUCAGAGGAUGAUUUCUUUAAUGGAGAAGGAGCUGGUGAGGCAGAGGAUUUUGGUGAGCUGGCAGGGCUCGAGGCAGCAGAAAUGUCAGGAAUUUCAAUCACAUUUGAGAUUUGAAGAACUGAAAUGUUGAAGGGCUGAGAGACAACGGAUUUCACGAACUUGGCGUUGAGCUUGCUGCCCUUGACAGCUGACCCGAAAGCGAGCCCUCCCUC